This 306-nucleotide ribosomal RNA is filed under the name Triticum aestivum (bread wheat). RNAcentral's name for it is "partial small subunit ribosomal RNA". The record is from RNAcentral. Lineage: Eukaryota; Viridiplantae; Streptophyta; Magnoliopsida; Poales; Poaceae.
AUGGCCUCGCCGCCAUGCCCCUGCGCGCUCCCCAACACCGCGCGCGACGCGCCGCCGUGCGUAGAUCCGCGCCAGCCGGCCCCGAUGCGCGUCCACCCCGCCCUCGCGCUGCCUCGCCACGCCGCCUCGAGCCAGCGUAGCCGCCGCCCGAGCUCCCGCCGAAGAGGACGGCCCGCGCCGCGCCGCCCCGAGCGGAAGGAGGAAAGGGCCCCGCCGCCGCCGAGCCGCCCAGGCUUUGCCCGACGACGCCGUCCGGCGGCAGCGAGGGGAGGUGGCGGUGGUGGGUGCGGCGCUGCUGGCGGCUAG